AACGAACGCUGGCGGCAUGCCUAACACAUGCAAGUCGAACGAGACCUUCGGGUCUAGUGGCGCACGGGUGCGUAACGCGUGGGAACCUGCCCUUAGGUUCGGAAUAACUCCCCGAAAGGGGUGCUAAUACCGGAUAAUGUCUUCGGACCAAAGAUUUAUCGCCUUUGGAUGGGCCCGCGUUGGAUUAGCUAGUUGGUAGGGUAAAAGCCAACCAAGGCGACGAUCCAUAGCUGGUCUGAGAGGAUGAUCAGCCACACUGGGACUGAGACACGGCCCAGACUCCUACGGGAGGCAGCAGUGGGGAAUAUUGCACAAUGGGCGGAAGCCUGAUGCAGCAACGCCGCGUGCGGGAUGACGGCCUUCGGGUUGUAAACCGCUUUCGCCUGUGACGAAGCGUGAGUGACGGUAAUGGGUAAAGAAGCACCGGCUAACUACGUG
Molecule: ribosomal RNA, 438 nt
Filed under: uncultured bacterium
Lineage: Bacteria
Description: partial 16S ribosomal RNA
Rfam family: Bacterial small subunit ribosomal RNA
Source: RNAcentral